AGAGUUUGAUCCUGGCUCAGAUUGAACGCUGGCGGUAUGCUUUACACAUGCAAGUCGAACGGAUUAAGAAGCUUGCUUUUUAGUUAGUGGCGAACGGGUGGGUAAUAUAUCGGAACAUAUCCGGAAGUGGGGGAUAACGUAGCGAAAGUUACGCUAAUACCGCAUAUGCCCUGAGGGGGAAAGGGGGGGAUCGCAAGACCUCUCGCUUUCGGAGUGGCCGAUAUCGGAUUAGCUAGUAGGUGAGGUAAAGGCUCACCUAGGCGACGAUCCGUAGCGGGUCUGAGAGGACGACCCGCCACACUGGAACUGAGACACGGUCCAGACUCCUACGGGAGGCAGCAGUGGGGAAUUUUGGACAAUGGGCGAAAGCCUGAUCCAGCCAUACCGCGUGAGUGAAGAAGGCCUUCGGGUUGUAAAGCUCUUUCAGCCGGAAAGAAAUCGUAUCUAUUAAUACUAGAUGCGGAUGACGGUACCGGAAGAAGAAGCACCGGCUAACUACGUGCCAGCAGCCGCGGUAAA
This 519-nucleotide ribosomal RNA is filed under the name uncultured Ferribacterium sp. RNAcentral describes it as "bacterial SSU rRNA". It matches the Rfam family "Bacterial small subunit ribosomal RNA", at positions 8 to 524 of the family's 1533-position model. Lineage: Bacteria; Pseudomonadati; Pseudomonadota; Betaproteobacteria; Rhodocyclales; Azonexaceae. The record is from RNAcentral.